This 60-nucleotide transfer RNA is filed under the name Aleyrodes shizuokensis. Its description in RNAcentral is "tRNA-Ser". Lineage: Eukaryota; Metazoa; Arthropoda; Insecta; Hemiptera; Aleyrodidae. The record is from RNAcentral.
UAAAACUUUUGAGUUAUAGCUUCUAACUAUAUAUGUAGUAAAAAUAUUUACUAAAGUUUU